AUUGAACGCUGGCGGCAGGCCUAACGCAUGCAAGUCGAGCGGAUGAAGGGAGCUUGCUCCUGGAUUCAGCGGCGGACGGGUGAGUAAUGCCUAGGAAUCUGCCUGGUAGUGGGGGAUAACGUCCGGAAACGGGCGCUAAUACCGCAUACGUCCUGAGGGAGAAAGUGGGGGAUCUUCGGACCUCACGCUAUCAGAUGAGCCUAGGUCGGAUUAGCUAGUUGGUGGGGUAAAGGCCUACCAAGGCGACGAUCCGUAACUGGUCUGAGAGGAUGAUCAGUCACACUGGAACUGAGACACGGUCCAGACUCCUACGGGAGGCAGCAGUGGGGAAUAGUGGACAAUGGGCGAAAGCCUGAUCCAGCCAUGCCGCGUGUGUGAAGAAGGUCUUCGGAUUGGAAAGCACUUUAAGUUGGGAGGAAGGGCAGUAAGUUAAUACCUUGCUGUUUUGACGUUACCAACAGAAGAAGCACCGGCUAACUUCGUG
This 484-nucleotide ribosomal RNA is filed under the name uncultured bacterium. Its description in RNAcentral is "partial 16S ribosomal RNA". It matches the Rfam family "Bacterial small subunit ribosomal RNA", at positions 30 to 507 of the family's 1533-position model. The record is from RNAcentral.